AUUGAACGCUGGCGGCGUGCCUAACACAUGCAAGUCGAGCGGUAACAGGUGUAGCAAUACAUGCUGACGAGCGGCGGACGGGUGAGUAACGCUUGGGAAUCUGCCUAUUAGUGGGGGACAACCCGGGGAAACUCGGGCUAAUACCGCAUACGCUCUACGGAGGAAAGCCGGGGACCGCAAGGCCUGGCGCUAAUAGAUGAGCCCAAGUCGGAUUAGCUAGUUGGUAGGGUAAUGGCCUACCAAGGCGACGAUCCGUAACUGGUCUGAGAGGACGACCAGUCACACCGGAACUGAGACACGGUCCGGACUCCUACGGGAGGCAGCAGUGGGGAAUAUUGGACAAUGGGCGAAAGCCUGAUCCAGCGACGCCGCGUGGGUGAAGAAGGCCUGCGGGUUGUAAAGCCCUUUCAGUGGGGAAGAAAAGCCUGACCUAACACGUCGGGGUCUUGACGUAACCCAUAGAAGAAGCACCGGCUAACUCUGUGCCAGCAGCCGCCGCGGU
This 502-nucleotide ribosomal RNA is filed under the name uncultured bacterium. RNAcentral describes it as "bacterial SSU rRNA". It matches the Rfam family "Bacterial small subunit ribosomal RNA", at positions 29 to 524 of the family's 1533-position model. The record is from RNAcentral.